This 420-nucleotide ribosomal RNA is filed under the name uncultured eukaryote. Its description in RNAcentral is "bacterial SSU rRNA". It matches the Rfam family "Eukaryotic small subunit ribosomal RNA", at positions 592 to 1016 of the family's 1831-position model. The record is from RNAcentral.
CAAUAGCGUAUAUUAAAGUUGUUGCGGUUAAAAGCUCGUAGUUGGAUUUCUGUUGAGGUCGACCGGUGCGCACUCCGUGUGUUAUUUGGUUCGGUCUCGGCAUCCUCGUGGGGAACGUUUCUGGACUUUAUUGGACAGGGCGAGAUUCACGACUUUUACUUUGAGGAAAUUAGAGUGUUUAAAGCAGGCUUAAGCCGUUGAAUACAUUAGCAUGGAAUAAUAAGAUAAGACUUGGGUCAUUAUUUUGUUGGUUUGCGGAUCGAGGUAAUGAUUAAUAGGGAUAGUUGGGGGGUAUUCAUAUUUAAUUGUCAGAGGUGAAAUUCUUGGAUUUAUGAAAGAUGAACUUAGGCGAAAGCAUUUACCAAGGAUGUUUUCAUUAAUCAAGAACGAAAGUUAGGGGAUCGAAGACGAUUAGAUACC